RNAcentral lists this non-coding RNA (240 nucleotides) under Paucilactobacillus vaccinostercus. RNAcentral describes it as "Lactobacillus vaccinostercus T-box sequence". It matches the Rfam family "T-box leader". Rfam says of the family: Uncharged tRNA acts as the effector for transcription antitermination of genes in the T-box leader family. T-boxes are found upstream of many aminoacyl-tRNA synthetase genes and some amino acid biosynthetic genes usually in Gram-positive bacteria. The record is from RNAcentral. Lineage: Bacteria; Bacillati; Bacillota; Bacilli; Lactobacillales; Lactobacillaceae.
AUUAGAACGUUGAAGAGAAGAGUAGCAUUACUCAGGACUUAAGAGACCCCUAGCUUGGUGAGAACGGGGAGCCUGAGCGGUGUGAAAGUAAUCUCCGAGAGUUGAAUGCGAGCAACGAGUGUUCAAUGGGUGCACCCAUUAUAGUGCCAAGGUAUCGCCACGAGUGUGGCCGUACCUGGUGAGGUAUAUUUCGUGAGGAGUAUACAAAUAUGAGGUGGUAACACGCGUAGCGUCCUUAUU